AGACCCUGAGGACCAGUCUCCUGGAGAAUGGGGACCAAAUGGGAUCUUCACAUCAGAUGAAGAGAAGACCGUCCGUCAGAGGAAGAAACAUCACCAGGGACCCCAACUUGGACUUCUCUGGAGUGUCAGAUUGCUGAAAAGGGAGUAAUGCAGGGUCAAAGGGCACUGGAAAGAGAAGCAGAGUCCCACCAGGGACUGAUGAGUAUACAGACAAAUACAGAAGAAAAGACUUCUGAAUUAAUAAGAUUGUUGGAAAGUCACCAAAGAUACUGUGAUUAACCCUGUUAACACUACAUUACCCACAACUUGUCACCAAAACUGUGACUCUGUUAUGCCUUUGGGAUUUUUUUUUUUUUUUUUUUUUUGCCC
Molecule: long non-coding RNA, 369 nt
Organism: Cyprinus carpio (common carp)
Lineage: Eukaryota; Metazoa; Chordata; Actinopteri; Cypriniformes; Cyprinidae
Exons: 2
Source: RefSeq, a predicted model, not a curated record